UGGAAAACUUCACAUUCAGAAUAGAGAUAUGGAAUAACAAACACUGGUCCAUGUGAUUUAGGUUCACCCAUGAAAUAGUCAGAAUUUUAAAAAGUAGAAUAUAACCGACGGGGGCAGGUGAUAGGAUGUGGUGCUGCAUAAGAACAAGAGCAAGCUAGAGAGAGAGAAAACUAUUGUGUUUAGUUUUAAUAAAUUCGAAUUAAAAUGUACCAUUACACUCAGAGGAUCAAUAUGAAAUCAAAAUAUAUGCAAAUUCUGUAUGAAGUACAUGACUGGUGACUGGAGAAAUAUUAUGAAAGGUGAGAAAGGUAAGCCCCGAUGGGGGUGAUAAAACCAUAGAUUUGAAUUGAAUUCUUAUAAUUUGACACCAAACAUAAAAUU
Oreochromis niloticus (Nile tilapia) is the source of this 381-nucleotide long non-coding RNA. RefSeq lists it as uncharacterized. NCBI's taxonomy places the organism in Eukaryota, Metazoa, Chordata, Actinopteri, Cichliformes, Cichlidae. The transcript has 2 exons. The record is from RefSeq and is a predicted model, not a curated record.